UUGAAGUUUGAGGAUAUGACGAUGAAGAAUAUGAUGACGGAGAUAACACAGGCGGGAGGGAGCUGGGGCACAACGAAUUAUUUGGUUCGACCCCGAGCGCAGCCGCCUGCUUUGGAAUCUCACUCCCCUUUUGGCUUUGGCUAUGAUGGAGGCCUCUCAUCGCCAUUUACUACUACUACUACUUAUCAGUUCAACAACAGGAAUUGUCGGCUUCAAAGACCGUCCGCUCUUCCCACUUCAAUCUUGUCGUCUGUAGCUAAAGAGCCCCUCACCCUUUCCCGAGCCCUCCUGGAUGAUACUACUUCUUCUUCUGAUGCGGAGGAGCUUAAGAGUGUUGCUGAGGCUGAUCCUUCACUAACACUUAAGAAGAGGGCAGCUGAGAUAUCUCCCGAUUUGAAAGGAACUUCUGUAUUUCUUGUAGGGAUAAACUGUUCCAUCAAAUCCAACUUGGGGAAACUUCUUGCUGAGGCACUGCGAUACUAUUACUUUGACAGUGAUGAUUUGAUUGAAGCGGCUGCCGGUGGAAAAUCUGCUGCUAGAUUAGUUUUCCAGCGGGAUGAGAAGGGUUUCCGUGAAUCUGAGACAGAGGUACUGAAGCAGCUGUCCUCCAUGGGCCGUCUUGUGGUUUCUGCUGGAAAUGGCACUGUUCAGUGUGCAGCCAAUCUGGCACACUUGAGACAUGGAAUUUCAAUAUGGAUUGAUGUCCCUCUAGACAUGGUAGCCAGGGAGGUCAUGGAAAAUGAUAUUCAACUUCCUGCAUCUGACCUCACAGUUUCUGGAUCUUAUUCUGAGAUUUUGACUCAGCUGACUGAACUGUAUGAAAGAAGCCGGAGUGGAUAUACUGCAGCUGAUUCAACUGUUUCGCUCCCAAAAGUAGCAUCUAAUUUCGGUUACAAGGACCUGGUUGAAGUAACAGUUGAAGAUAUGGCUUUAGAGGUUCUCAAGGAGCUCCAAAAACUAAUGAGACUUAAAAAGAUGAUGGAAGCAGCCGCUAGACCAUUUUAAUCUCCAAGACCUUUUGUCACUGCCAUUAACUUUGGAGUAGCAAGAAGUGACUUGCGUCCAAGUAAGUAACUGCACCACAUUGUCCUGGAGUUCUGAGUUGAUCUAAGAAGUCAUUUCAGUUUCAGCCUAUAUUUGUCUGGAGCCCAUUUCUGUGAAACCUUAUAGAUGUUGCAGCCGCUACCUGCCAAAAUAUCUCAAAGAAAGCUAUUUACUCUACAGACUUGAGAAGCUUGUUAUACGUUUAUUUUUUUGAUGGAAUUAGACGUCAUCAUCGCAGCAGGUUGAUGCAUGGAAUUGUGACGGAGAUAUUGGUUUGUAACUGCCUCAGGCUGGGGAAAAGGAGUUCCCAGAUCUUGAUUUCCACCUUAGGCAGUGAGGCUGCAUUCGCCUGCCACAAAUGGAGAAGUUGGAGACCUGCGAUGACCUAUUUCAUGGGUUGAUUGAUAAUUGUGACGAGGAUGUUCUCACUAGUUCAUAGUACGCAGUAAUGGUGUUCAGCUUUUGAGUUGUGUUAUGGAAAUGUUACGAAUCUAUUGUGAUUCUUGAUCCUAAAUUAGUUCAGAGCUAAGUAAAUGGAAUGUUAAGAUGAA
Coffea eugenioides is the source of this 1595-nucleotide RNA transcript. It is a transcript of the gene named probable inactive shikimate kinase like 1, chloroplastic, with no coding region annotated. The record is from RefSeq and is a predicted model, not a curated record. NCBI's taxonomy places the organism in Eukaryota, Viridiplantae, Streptophyta, Magnoliopsida, Gentianales, Rubiaceae. The transcript is spliced from 12 exons.